UCGCCUGUUUAACAAAAACAUGUCCUAUUGUUUAAUAUUAAUUUUAGGUCUAACCUGCCCAGUGAAAUAAUUUGAAUGGCCGCAGUAUACUAACUGUGCGAAGGUAGCAUAAUCAUUUGUCUUUUAAUUGAAGGCUUGUAUGAAUGGUUGGACGAAGGAUUAACUUUCUUUAUUUAAUUUUAAUUAAUUUGAUUUUUUAGUUAAAAAGCUUAAAUGUAUUUGCAAGACGAGAAGACCCUGUAGAAUUUUAUAAUUAUGGUAUUUUUUAUUUUAUUUGUAAUUUUAAUUAUAAAUAAUAUUUUAAUUAUUUUGUUGGGGCGACAAUGGAAAUAGUUUAACUUCCAUUAAUAUAAAUCAUUUAUUUAUGUUUAUUUUGAUCUUUUAUUAAAGAUUAAAAGAUUAAAUUACCUUAGGGAUAACAGCGUAAUUUUUUCGGAGAGUUCUUAUCGAUGAAAUAAGUUUGCGACCUCGAUGUUGGAUUAAAGUUAGUUUUUGGUGUAGAAGCUAAAUUAGUAAGUCUG
RNAcentral lists this ribosomal RNA (521 nucleotides) under Homoeocerus unipunctatus. RNAcentral describes it as "partial 16S ribosomal RNA". It matches the Rfam family "Bacterial large subunit ribosomal RNA", at positions 1796 to 2579 of the family's 2925-position model. The record is from RNAcentral. Lineage: Eukaryota; Metazoa; Arthropoda; Insecta; Hemiptera; Coreidae.